GAUGAACGCUGGCGGCGUGCCUAACACAUGCAAGUCGAGCGAUUCUCUUCGGAGAAGAGCGGCGGACGGGUGAGUAACGCGUGGGUAACCUGCCCUGUACACACGGAUAACAUACCGAAAGGUAUGCUAAUACGAGAUAAUAUGCUUUUAUCGCAUGGUAGAAGUAUCAAAGCUCCGGCGGUACAGGAUGGACCCGCGUCUGAUUAGAUAGUUGGUAAGGUAACGGCUUACCAAGGCGACGAUCAGUAGCCGACCUGAGAGGGUGAUCGGCCACAUUGGAACUGAGACACGGUCCAAACUCCUACGGGAGGCAGCAGUGGGGAAUAUUGCACAAUGGGCGUAAGCCUGAUGCAGCAACGCCGCGUGAGCGAUGAAGGCCUUCGGGUCGUAAAGCUCUGUCCUCAAGGAAGAUAAUGACGGUACUUGAGGAGGAAGCCCCGGCUAACUACGUGCCAGCAGCCGCAGUAA
RNAcentral lists this ribosomal RNA (468 nucleotides) under uncultured bacterium. RNAcentral's name for it is "partial 16S ribosomal RNA". It matches the Rfam family "Bacterial small subunit ribosomal RNA", at positions 28 to 523 of the family's 1533-position model. The record is from RNAcentral.